UGCAUUGCUGCAAACUUAUUAUUUUUUAUUUGGUGUGUAUGCCAUAUGCUAGCUUAUGGUUAUGUUUGGAAUGCUUAUGUUAUGAAUACCAUUGUUUGAUACGCCCUUCAUGAUUGGUGCAUGAUGUUUAUGGUGGAUGCAUUGAAUACUUGUGUAUGAUUUCUUUGAAUGAUUUACAAUACUUGACAUGAGCUAAUGCAUUGUUGUGAUUUCCCUGCAGGUGAGGUUAGGAUGCAUGGUUUGCUUGGUCCUGAUGUUGCAGGGUUGGUGAUGCAAUAGGUAAGGUGUUUUUGGCUUGGCAUUUGUUGCAGGCCUUGUGUAUGGUUCAUGUUGCAGGUAUGCAUUAGCUGGUAGGAUUGCAUUUGCUGCAAGUAGAUUGUAUGCACAAUUAGCAUGGCUUCGUUGGUGAUAUUAUGUUAUGUGAUUAGUUAACUUUGGUUUUGUUGCAAUGCUUUGAUGUUGAACUAUUGUAUAUGGAUUGUGGUUAUGCCAUUGCAGGUUUUGUAUGGUUGGCUAUAAGUGUGGCAUAUUAUUGAUUGCACUGCAAGAGGCUUGUAUUAACUGCUAUGCUUUUGAGCAUGUUUCAUAAUUAUUUAUGGAGUUGUGGUUCAUUGCAGAACUUGGCCUUAAUGCAUUACCAAGGCAGGUCCAGGAUUUAUAAAGGUAUUGUAUUUAAUGGUUUUUGUUUCAAUACUUGCAGGACUGACUUAGGUGAUUGUAACGUGAAUUAUGACUGCAACAAGUAUGCAUUAUUUCUGAUGUUGUAUUCUAGAAGACCUGGAUGUGGUGGAAGUGUUGCAGUAGGUAUGAUCCCAUUCCUAGCCUAGCCUUGCAAUUUCAUGGUACUUCAUAUUUCACCAUGUUCUGAUAUUGUGGCAUGAUUUGUGGCAAGGUUCUACAGAAUUGUGGAUUAUAGUCUUGUUAUGCAUUGCAGAAUUAGGGCAUGUUGCAUUGAUGCUUGGCACGACUUGGUUUUUGUUGUAACAUGAUUAACAUGGCCUACUGACUGAUGGCUUGCUUAUGCCCUACAGGUUUUCUUGCAAGAUGAAGUGUUUGGCCCAAUUCAGAAUGGUAUUGACUUAUGGUUCAUGCAGGUCAUUUGAAUGUGUAUGGUUUUGCACUUGGUGUUGGUGGGACAUGGCAUGCACCAAGUGGCUUGCAAAGUGAAUGACACAAGUUUGAAUUUGGAGUAAAAGGCCAAUUCAAGGACCAAGGAUCAAAAUUGGCAUUUGGAUUAGAAUUAGGAUGUGAUUUAAGGUUUUUUAGGAUUGGGUUGACUUUGAUCAAAGUUGACCAAAAAGUCAAUGUUGACAAAAGUCACACAUUUGGUUAAAACUUCAUUUUUUUUGUUUUUCCUCAUGUAAUGGAUAUUUAUAUGAUUAUGUAAUGAAUGAAAUUGAUAUAUUUUGAAUAAAUUGGAUUGGUUCUGGAAUGUAUGUUUGAAUGGAAUUGAUUGAUUUUGAAA
This 1465-nucleotide long non-coding RNA is filed under the name Lathyrus oleraceus (garden pea). RNAcentral's name for it is "Pisum sativum (pea) long non-coding RNA (PSAT_LNC035629)". Lineage: Eukaryota; Viridiplantae; Streptophyta; Magnoliopsida; Fabales; Fabaceae. The record is from RNAcentral.